Long non-coding RNA from Manis pentadactyla (Chinese pangolin), 4623 nucleotides. RefSeq lists it as uncharacterized. The record is from RefSeq and is a predicted model, not a curated record. Lineage: Eukaryota; Metazoa; Chordata; Mammalia; Pholidota; Manidae. The transcript is spliced from 3 exons.
CGUCUCUCCCAACAUGCACAAUUAUUGCUAAUCUCCAUUGCUCCCUCCACCCCCUACUCCUAGCUACCAUGAAUCUACUUUUUGUCUUCCUAGCUUUGCCUUUUAUGGAUAUUGCAUAUAAAUAGAAUCACCUAACAUGCAGCGUCUUGUGUCUGGCUUCUUUCUCUGAGCAUAUUUUUGAAGUUCAUUCAUGUCACAGCCCAUAUCUGUAGUUUGUUCUUUUUUCCUAAUUGCUGAAUCAUAUUCCACUUAUGGUUGAUAGGUAAAUUGACUCUAAUGCAUAUAGUUUCAAUAAAUGGUACACACAAGAAUAAAAUCAACCUGCUGAAAUUUUAGUGGCACCAUAAAAAUGUAUUUCCUAGAUAAUCCUUCUAAUCAAAAUUGAACCUUUAUUUUAUAAUACUCUCUCUAAUCCAUAUGACUUAUAUUCUAUCCAGUAAUAAUAGUCCUUUUAUAAUAUAUCCAGUAAUAAAAAAGGUAUAACUUAUAUCAUUUUAAAAAAGAAAUUCAUUUGCUCACGCUAAGUGUUGUGCUAGGUUUUGGUGAAAUGGGCAUGCAUAGGACAUGAUCAUUGCCCUAAACCAAUUCAUAUUUUUAGAGGGGGGAAUAGGCCUAGACACAAGGAGGAGAAAUGAAAAGGGGGAGAAAUGAAAUGAUGUGGAAUGCCAAAGUGACCAAAUUUAAAGUUUUAAAUGGGAACACUACAUAUUUACCAGAUCCAGUGCCAGGUCUGGGUUGAAAUGCUGUCAGAAAAAUAAAACUGUAUAGAGAGUAACAAAAAAUACUCCACAAGGUUCAACACAACCAAGUAUAGAAGGAUAGGACUGAUAUGACCUGGCUCAUUCAAGUACCUAAUAAAAAGAGUCCCAGCCAUUUUGAGCCCAGUACAGACCCACACUGAGUAUAAUCACAGGCUCUGCUCUGUGAACCAAAGCAGGAAGAUGUUCUGUCCAACACUCUGAUUUUUAGGACAUUUCUAGAGCAAUGUGCUCAAGGCUGGCCUGUCAUUUUUAGAAGGACAUUGGCAAAAGAGGCUAUCUGGAAUGACUGUCAUGAUCUAUCUAGCCUUAGGGAAAAGAACAGGUGUUGGGAAAUGUGGGGGUGAGGUCUGAUGUCUGCCUCUGAGAGCUCGCAGAUUUCUUGAUGGUCCACCUAGAACAGGAGUGAGCUCAUGUCAUUGGGUACAACCCUGAUACUGGAAGGCUGCUUAUAAGGAUGUUGCAUGACCUGUUUUUGCAUUGAGAGGGAGAUGAUUUCUAAAUUCCCUUUCCUGUCCAAACCUCUUAUCAUGAAAAAAUAUUAACAGUUAACCAAUCCGUUAGUUAUUCAUUAUUUAUGCAAUAGCUGCAAUGUGUAACCAUCUCUAUUUCAAUUCCCAGUUCCUAUUUUUACUCAUCUCUGGGGCCUUAAUACUGUUAUGACCUCUCUCAGCCUUUGGUCAGGAUCCUUUUCCCUUUAUAGUAGCUCCUUUUUGACUUGCUGUGUGUGUGCGUUUGUGUGGCUUCUUUCCUUUUUCUUUCCUGUAUUGUGAGUUAACAUCCCGAAUAAUUUAAGUUACAUGUUCCUUGAUACAGAAAAGCAUCAUGGAGUCAGAUUCCUUUUCUGCUUUUACCUACACAUUUGUGACCAUGAAAGCCCUCUUUUUUUUUUUUUUACCUCUGUGUCUUUUACAUAGGGCAUUUUUUACAUCUGAGAAUCAUUUCACCCCAUAUCUGCUUGCCAGGUGAGUCUUCUUAAAACACAGUUCUGACUGUUUGAUUUUCUUUCCCAGAAAUCUCUAAUACUUUUCAAUUGCUUACGGGAACAAGCUCAAACUCCUUAUCCUCAGAUUUACAGAAUCACCUAAUCGUGUCUCAAUUUCCUUUUCCUGCCUUAUCUCAUUCCAUUCUCUUAAAAAGUCUGACUCAAGUUAAGUUGAUUUUCCUGGUGUUUCUCAAGCACAUUUCAUUUCUUUUUUUUUAAGUCAAAAACUUUCAACAUGUUUUCUGCAUUCAUUUUUGGUGCUUCCUCCAUUGUGUCCAUCAUCCCUGAAGGAUGUUGAAAUCCUAAUAAUCUUGCCCAGUGCAGCUCAAGAAGCCCUUCCUUUUAUAAAGCCCCUUCUGGCCCCCUGCCUGAAGCACUGGUUCUCAAAGCAGGUAUGGUCCAUUCCACCCUGGGAUGUAUUCUAUUUGUUGAUCGGCAAGAUUACUCUUUAUAAAUACAAUUUAUGUUUGUAUGAUUUCAUGCUAGUUCUCCACAAUGAGAGAUCAAGAAUGCAUCUUCUCUGUCUCUACCCCUCAGUAUAUAAAAUGCCUCGUGUUUAACAGAACUCAACAAAUAUAUGUAUUCUCCAGAUGGCCGAGUUCUAGACCUGAAAGGAGAUUGGAGAUCUGGAGAGCUGGUUGAUUGAUUAAUAGAAGCUGAACCAAAAGACUACUGAGAACUUUGUGUCUAGCUAUGUACUCGAAAUAACAGAUUUUGACUAAGUGGUUUUUAUUAGUACUUAUUAUUGAAGUUGAUUUAUAAAGAAAGAUGCAUAGCAUGGAUGAGCAAUUUGAUGCAAAAAUAAAUCUAAAGCGUGGCUAAAAUUAACCUGUGGAGAAAUCUUUCCACAGUUUAAUGGUCUUGUCAAAAUUUAAAGGCUCAGCGUCUUCUUGAGACUAAUGCUCCUUAAUGGGUAUUCAGUGAAACCCCAGACUGGCGAUUCAUCACGGUUUAUAUUUACAACAUGUAGCACUACUGCAUUCCAGCAGGUGGCGCUGCUUCUCGAAGAAAUUGUUCUUGCUCUGCUCUGCAGCCACCCUGACUCUCCUUCCCAUUGCUUCUACAAAGGCCAGACGCUGAAGAGCAAUCUGAGUAUCUUACAUUAGUGGAAAUAAGAGGUGCUUAUAAUUAUUAUAUAUAUUCCUUGACAGACAAGGUUUUUAUAGAGUCAGGUUUUUAUUUUUUCUUUCUUUAUGCCUUUCAUUUUCACAUUUCUGACUUUAGAAGACCAGGUUCAUCUCUGUCAUCCCUGAGCCCUUCACACAUUGAGAGGCUUUUUCAGAUCUUACAGUCAGCUGGGACCGAGAGAACCUGAGUAGGAAUCGAGGCCCACCCUUCCUUCCUUCAGGAAAUUCCCAUGCCUUUGAAGCUAUUCCAUGAAAAUGAAUUCAGUGAUUUAAUCAGCUUGGGAAGCUCUCUUCAUGGAGAAACCUUUAGUUUCCUCUCUUUAUGGAGCAUCAUUGAUAUCUGAAGGGUCCUCAGAAUUUCUGCAGUAAAGAACCCCUUGGAGGACUUCAGGCUAAACCAAAAAAUGUCUACUGAUCUGGCAAGGAGAAAUCUAAAAUCAAGGUGUCAUGAAGGCCAUGCUCUCUCUGAAGAGUCUAGGGGAGAAUCACUCUUUGCAUCCGUCCAGCUUCUGGGGGUUGCCUGCAAUCCUUGGCUCUCAGAUGGACUCCAUCAGUCUCUGCCUUUGUUGUCACGUGGCUUUCUUCCCUGUCUGCCUCUUCACAGGAUCAUCUUCUUGCUUUGUGUGUCAUUGCGUCCAAACUGUCCUCUUUUUACAAAGACUCCAGUCAUUAGAUUAAGGACCACUCUAAUCUAGGAUGACUUCACCUUAAUUUGAUUAUAUCCACAAAGACCCGAUUUCCAGGUAAAGUCAGAUUCACAGGUUCCAGAAGUUAGGACUUGAACAUAUCUUUCUGGGGGACAAGCUUCAACACAUAAAUAGCUAGUCAAGGCUGAAUGUGUAGGAUGGCUCACUCACAUGGCUGGCGGUAUCAGCUGAAUUGUUGACCCGAGUGCCUCAUGUGGUGGCCUGGGAGUAGCUGCACUUUCCACAUGUGGUUGACUACAUCCCUGCCCAGCACACACCCUGAGCACUAGAAGGAAGCUUCCUGGCCUUUUCUGGCCUUGCCUCAGAAAUCAUAUAGUAGGUUUCUGCCCAGCGUUGUUGGUUGGAGCCGUCAUGAGCCUGCUCAGAGUGACGGCAAGGCAGGUGGCCACGCCUCCCAGCAGACGCCUCCUGCAGGGGCCACGCCAGGCAAAAACCAAUAGUGCUGGUGCGGGAGGGGAAGUAUAAUGCGAGGCUGCUGCAAACGCCAGGUCAAGGGCACUUGCAAUUUGUGUGUUCCACAAUGUUUGUUCAAAGGCUAAUUAGUACAAAUCUUAAAGAGAAUACACAGAAAUGAGAAUGCAUGUAAUUUCCUGUAGAGAUAAAAUUAAACUCAGGAAAAAUAACUCCCUCUUCCUCUAUUCUUUUUUCUUUUUCUCCUUUCCCUCUCCCCGUCCCUUCCAUCUUUCCUUCCUUUCCUCCCUCCUUCCCACUUUGGAAUCCCUAAGCAUGUAGUAGAAGCAUUUCAUAAUACAGAAUCAAGUUCAGAUGCUUUAUAUGUGUCUAGUCAUAAUCCUUACUUACAAUACACAUAAACUAUCUUAAUUCCUGUAUUGAUAAAACGUUAUUCUCUAAUAUGUACUACAGCACCAAAUAAACAUGCAUAUUCUAGACUUAGGCAAAUCUAAUCCCAGGGUAGUUAUGUUGCCUUAGUUUAAAUAACAAAACUACAUGGUGAAAUCAAAGGAUAUGUAUCAAAUAAUAAAGGUAAUAAUCUGGUAUUCUGGAGUGAUUUUUUUAAUUUCCUUCUUUACACUUUUCUAGUUUCC